RNAcentral lists this long non-coding RNA (330 nucleotides) under Homo sapiens (human). Its description in RNAcentral is "non-protein coding lnc-SLC46A3-8:1". Lineage: Eukaryota; Metazoa; Chordata; Mammalia; Primates; Hominidae. The record is from RNAcentral.
AGUCCCUAAGCCAGAGCAGGUGAUGUGGGCAGGAAGCAUCAGCGCUCUGGAGACGAGAAGCCGAACCAGCCCGGCGCUGCCCCGAGCCCGGCUGCGCGCUCCCCAACUCCGCUCACCUGUCUCCGGCGGGUCCAGAGGGCGGCAGCAGAGCCAGCCGACCCCACCGGACCGCGCAGCAGAGGAUUCGCUCACCUGGGUCAAAAAGAGCCAAGAAAGAUGUCUGUACUCCGCUAAGCGGUCAAGGGUUUCCGCAGAAGGGGGGAGAUAAACUUGCCCUGAGAGCCGGCGGCGGCGGCGCAGGUGGAGCGCGAGGGGCGCCCCCGCACCUGG